AUCCAGAUGACGGGUCCCAAAUACGACGAAAUGCGCAUUCUGGAU
RNAcentral lists this non-coding RNA (45 nucleotides) under Trichobilharzia regenti. The record is from RNAcentral. Lineage: Eukaryota; Metazoa; Platyhelminthes; Trematoda; Strigeidida; Schistosomatidae.